GUCCGCGUCGGCGAUCCGGGGUCUGGGCGCGGCGAGGUCUGGUGUGGCAGAUGUGGAUAGCUGGACCCUCCUGGGUGCCUCUGCGUUAUGUCGUUUGGUUGAUGCAUUUGGAGAGAAUCUGUGCUCUCCACAACUGCAGGGGCAACAUGCUUUCCUGGCCUCUUCAGAUCAGGGUGGCUGUUCUUGGGUGCUGCACCAAAACUCCAGCAGUGGGCUUUCUUCAAGGUGAGCUGCAAGAUGGAAUCUGAGGCCCACCCGUCAGUAAGAGUUUCCUCCUGGUAUCCAUGGAAUCUACUGGUCUGUCUCACUUUGGCCUUUGACCCAGGCAGGGGUUCCUAACAUCUACAUCGGUCAUUCGGACAGCCUUGCUUUUGGUUCACUGCCUUACACGGGGCUUCCAGAUGUUGACCUGCUUCAUUUUACAGUAUCAGGAAAUCACUUUCCCCUCAGAAAUGGCCGGCUCACCUCAUUCCUGCCAAGACCCAGGUCCGUGUUCUCACAGUGCUGCCAUCUUUCCUCCGUGUGAGCGUGGGCUGUGCGGAGAGUGGACCUCGGUGUGUGCGGGGCUGCGUGCACUGCCAUCGCUCCCUCUACACGAGCCGGCGUGGACCCAGGGCUGAGCUGUGACCACGAGGGCCAUCCCGACGAGCCGCCAUGGACCCAGGGCUGAGCUGUGACCAUGAGGGCUAUCCCGACGAGCUGCCGUGGACCCAGGGCUGAGCCGUGACCAUGAGGGCCAUCCCGAAACUGUGAUUAUGAAGAAACCAAGGCUUUGUGACUAACUCAACCCCUCAAGAAGGACAAAACUAGCAUCAGAGCCCCUUGCUCCUGGGUCUGGCAAGAAUGCCUCUUGUUUGCUGAGAGGUCCACAGAUUUACCCGGCUCAAGACUGGGAGAUGGGAGGUGACCAGGUCAGUGCCAGCCUCUCUCUGAGCUCCUCUGAGUCGUGGCAGCUGAGGUGCUCCUCCGAGAAUGUUCUGCCAUCCGUGAGGUCGUGUACGCCUGGAAGCUUUUGUUCCAUUGAACUCUGCCAGGGAGCUAUACUUAGCCACGCGAGUGGAGGCCAGGAGUGGGUUCUCUGAAUAUAGAUAGUAGCAAGCAGGCUAUUUUCAAACACCUAGAGAACCCCCAUGAUUAUUCUGGGCCAAAAUGAUAUUUAUAGGAUGCUCUGGGCCCUUGGACAUGAAGGCAAUAACCUUAGCGCCUUUUGGCGUUCGGGAUAAGUUUCUAUCAACGGGGAGUGGAGAGAGGGACCCGGUCACCCAGAGGCCCGCUGUCCCUCAACACCUGUUUCCAGGAGGCCAGGCGUCUUCUUUGCUUUUACACUAUGAGUCAGAGAACAGCGAGAGGCACGCAGGGCCCUACUAAUUUUCCUUCCUGCACACCCUGGUGUGGGUCCUGUCUGAGGCCUGCCGUGUGCUAUUAGGGAAGACGUCAUCAGGGGACUUUUUCUGCUGUGAGGAGGGUGCAGCCCCUGCCUUUCAGAGCUCAGGACACCCUCUUCCUCUUGUCCAGGAUCCUCAGGGAUUUCCUAGGCUUCCACCCUCACCCAGACAUCACUGGACCGUCACUGAAACACCCGCUUCCAGUGUGCUCAGGUCCUGCAGCCUCCUGUCCAUCCUUGCCCCGCCUCCCGCCCGGAGGAAAGACUCUGACACUGCCCCUGGAAGAGGGAGGAGAGUGGAUGUGAUGAGUGAAGAUUUGGGUGGGGAAAGGAAGGCCUGAGUCCUGGGAGGAAGAGCUCUCCCCGCCCCGAGCCCCCGGAGACUGUGAGCAAGGCUGAGACGCCUCCUUCCUGGUGCUCAAGCUGCAGGUGUUGGAUAGGCCUCCAGAAGCCCAGAUUUUAAAUGACCGCUCCAGGUUAACCUGGGGAUGGUCAGGCAGAACAAGGAGGAGAGGCCAGCAGUGAAGGGCAGGGCUGGUGGGCAGUGGCUGGGGGUGUCCUGGGUGGGGCUGGCCACCCUCGCUGCCUCUGACUUGGGCCAGACCUGCGUUAAGUGGAGUGGCUCCUCCAUUCUUUACACCCCAGGCCCCUGGCAGGUGCCCUGCCUUUCCUCUGCCCCUCUCUCUGCCAACCCAUCCUCUCCCUCCCAGCCCCUGCCCGCCCAGAUAUAAAUAUAAGAGCAUUUUCCAUGGGCUGAGACA
Molecule: long non-coding RNA, 2145 nt
Filed under: Homo sapiens (human)
Lineage: Eukaryota; Metazoa; Chordata; Mammalia; Primates; Hominidae
Description: HSALNT0387774
Source: RNAcentral